Molecule: long non-coding RNA, 200 nt
Organism: Hydra vulgaris (swiftwater hydra)
Lineage: Eukaryota; Metazoa; Cnidaria; Hydrozoa; Anthoathecata; Hydridae
Source: RefSeq, a predicted model, not a curated record
AGAUUAUAAUAGCUUUGAAACAAUGAUAAUGAAAGUUUUUUCAUCGUUCUAAAUUUAUGCUACAGUUAUGGUCGUAAAAGAUUAAGAAAAAUCUUAUGGGUGCAAUUAUUCCUCUGACACCUGCGAAAUUACCAAAAGAACUGACCAUCGCUGUUUAUUGUAUUUUUUUAAAUUAUCUAGUUAAACAAUCUAUCACUUAA